AAGGAUUUAGCUUAAUUAAAGUUUUUGAUUUGCGUUCAAAUGAUGUAGAAAUAAAUCUGCAAUCCUUA
This 68-nucleotide transfer RNA is filed under the name Muscardinus avellanarius (hazel dormouse). RNAcentral describes it as "tRNA-Ala". It matches the Rfam family "tRNA". From Rfam's summary of the family: Transfer RNA (tRNA) molecules are approximately 80 nucleotides in length. Their secondary structure includes four short double-helical elements and three loops (D, anti-codon, and T loops). Further hydrogen bonds mediate the characteristic L-shaped molecular structure. tRNAs have two regions of fundamental functional importance: the anti-codon, which is responsible for specific mRNA codon recognition, and the 3' end, to which the tRNAs corresponding amino acid is attached (by aminoacyl-tRNA synthetases). tRNAs cope with the degeneracy of the genetic code in two manners: having more than one tRNA (with a specific anti-codon) for a particular amino acid; and 'wobble' base-pairing, i.e. permitting non-standard base-pairing at the 3rd anti-codon position. Lineage: Eukaryota; Metazoa; Chordata; Mammalia; Rodentia; Gliridae. The record is from RNAcentral.